CUGUGUGAUGAAAAACAGGAGAAGCGGCACCAGACUGACCAGAGAAAGAUGUGGCAAAUCGCCCACUACUGUCUGGAA
Molecule: small nucleolar RNA, 78 nt
Organism: Prunus persica (peach)
Lineage: Eukaryota; Viridiplantae; Streptophyta; Magnoliopsida; Rosales; Rosaceae
Source: Rfam